AUAUUUAGGGGAGCUAUUGCUGAGAUUGAAUUUUUAAAUUCUAAACCCGUUGAACCUGUUUGGAUAAUGCCGACGUAGGGAGAUUAAAUA
Molecule: non-coding RNA, 90 nt
Filed under: Terrisporobacter glycolicus
Lineage: Bacteria; Bacillati; Bacillota; Clostridia; Peptostreptococcales; Peptostreptococcaceae
Source: RNAcentral